GUGGGGAAUCUUAGACAAUGGGGGCAACCCUGAUCUAGCCAUGCCGCGUGAGUGAUGAAGGCCUUAGGGUUGUAAAGCUCUUUCACCGAUGAAGAUAAUGACGGUAGUCGGAGAAGAAGCCCCGGCUAACUUCGUGCCAGCAGCCGCGGUAAUACGAAGGGGGCUAGCGUUGUUCGGAUUUACUGGGCGUAAAGCGCACGUAGGCGGUUUGUUAAGUCAGUGGUGAAAUCCCGGAGCUCAACUCCGGAACUGCCUUUGAUACUGGCAAGCUAGAGUCCGGAAGAGGUAAGUGGAACUCCUAGUGUAGAGGUGGAAUUCGUAGAUAUUAGGAAGAACACCAGUGGCGAAGGCGGCUUACUGGUCCGGAACUGACGCUGAGGUGCGAAAGCGUGGGGAGCAAACAGGAUUAGAUACCCGAGUAGUCC
This 425-nucleotide ribosomal RNA is filed under the name uncultured bacterium. RNAcentral's name for it is "partial 16S ribosomal RNA". It matches the Rfam family "Bacterial small subunit ribosomal RNA", at positions 354 to 796 of the family's 1533-position model. The record is from RNAcentral.